AGAGAGGUGGCCGAGUGGUCGAAGGCGCACGCCUGGAAAGUGUGUAUACGCCAAAAGCGUAUCGAGGGUUCGAAUCCCUUCCUCUCUGCAA
RNAcentral lists this transfer RNA (91 nucleotides) under Alteromonas sp. RNAcentral describes it as "tRNA-Ser". It matches the Rfam family "tRNA". From Rfam's summary of the family: Transfer RNA (tRNA) molecules are approximately 80 nucleotides in length. Their secondary structure includes four short double-helical elements and three loops (D, anti-codon, and T loops). RNAcentral also lists the same sequence under 10 other names. Lineage: Bacteria; Pseudomonadati; Pseudomonadota; Gammaproteobacteria; Alteromonadales; Alteromonadaceae. The record is from RNAcentral.